AUACGGAGGGUGCAAGCGUUACUCGGAAUCACUGGGCGUAAAGCGCGCGCAGGCGGCUAUUUAAGUUGGAUGUGAAAGCCUACGGCUCAACCGUAGAACUGCAUCCAAAACUAUUUAGCUAGAGGGUGGGAGAGGAAGAUGGAAUUAGUUGUGUAGGGGUAAAAUCCGUAGAGAUAACUAGGAAUACCAAAAGCGAAGGCAAUCUUCUGGAACACUACUGACGCUGAGGCGCGAAAGCGUGGGGAGCAAACAGGAUUAGAUACCCUAGUAGUCC
RNAcentral lists this ribosomal RNA (274 nucleotides) under uncultured bacterium. RNAcentral describes it as "partial 16S ribosomal RNA". It matches the Rfam family "Bacterial small subunit ribosomal RNA", at positions 523 to 796 of the family's 1533-position model. The record is from RNAcentral.